RNAcentral lists this ribosomal RNA (207 nucleotides) under uncultured Verrucomicrobiota bacterium. RNAcentral describes it as "uncultured Verrucomicrobia bacterium partial 16S ribosomal RNA". It matches the Rfam family "Bacterial small subunit ribosomal RNA", at positions 568 to 774 of the family's 1533-position model. Lineage: Bacteria; Pseudomonadati; Verrucomicrobiota. The record is from RNAcentral.
UGCGUAGGUGGCAAGGUAAGUUCGGUGUGAAAUCCCCGGGCUUAACCCGGAAAUGGCAUUGAAUACUAUCUUGCUCGAGGGUUGGAGGGGGGACUGGAAUUCUCGGUGUAGCAGUGAAAUGCGUAGAUAUCGAGAGGAACACCAGUGGCGAAGGCGAGUCCCUGGACAACUCCUGACACUGAGGCACGAAAGCUAGGGGAGCAAACA